GAGCCCUGAAAAUAAUUUAAAUUCAUUUCUCAAUCACAUUUACAUUCUCUUUUCAAACAUCCUCUUAGGAAAAUGGUCCCUAAACUACGCUCUUAGAGAAACACACACACACCCUUUAACUGUUCUUGUUAUUGUUUGUGACUCCUUAUUAUCCACACCCAGGAAUUCUUUGGGUCUCGUUAAUACGAAAGACAGCCUUCUUUAGCCCCUGUCUUUUAAAACUGUCAGAUAAUUACACAGUUGGCUUUAGAGUUUAACUUGUCAAAGGAGUUUUCAUUACUUUGUUCCUUUUGGGCAACCUGCCCUAUUGUGUUCCUGGAAGACUAAACAGAACCUAUAUUAACUGUCAGUUAAUUAUACACCAUUUUUUCCUUCAGCCUUUACCAGUCAAAGGGGCAGGUAGGCUGCAAUCCUAUCAUCUCAAUCACUGUCUUUUGCCACAAAAGAAUCAAUAAAGAUGAGUCACAUAGUGUCACCUAGCGUCUGAUACUCAAAGCCACCCAUUCCUAAUUGCCUUUAGAGAUGAAUGAUAAUGAAAACUUUGAAGUGAUAAUCAGUCUAAUGAGUGGUCUUGCUGAGAGGGCAGAUCAUGUGUCAGUAGAGUUUGCAGAUGCUUAAAGGCAAACAAAGCCCACUUUCCUUUUAGAGCUGAGAAGACCCUGGCGAGUCUGGUACCCAGAGGCCUGCACAAUGACAGAGACUGGCUCUCAGCGGGAUGCUGAAGCCUGCGGAUCACAACUGACUCCAUCCAUCUUGCUCUUUGCCUUUUAAUCAACCCAGUCAGAGCGAACACUCUUGGAUCUUGUAGCAUCAGCAGUAGAGAGCAUCACACGCACACCCCACUUCUGUAUGGCUUGCAAACUUUUGGAAGAAUCCUGGAAAGAAAGUGAAGGCCGGAUCCGCCACAAAGUUCUGUUGCACAGGGAAAGACACAGGAGGAAGGCGAAGAUGCGGGAGCCGGGAGGGUCCACUUCUCAGGAAAUUUGCACCCUCAAGAAGCUGAGAUUUUCACGGGCUGCUAAGAACUUUUUGGUUCAUUGGAUAUUUAUGCAUAGGAUUUCUUCUCAAAUGUCGCUGAUAUAAAGAAGCCCAAGCUGUGAUAAACUGAUGGCUGAAGAGGACUUGAAGUUCCUGCCAAGGCAAAGGUGGCCAUCAUCUUAACAGAUGUACUCAAUUUUGAGUGUAUUGAUUUAACUCCUGCAUAAAAUAUGGUAUAAGCAAAGAACAGAAGGGGAAAGAUUUGAAUAUUUACUGUGUAAUUGUAUCAUACUAACUAAGGAUAUGUAUGCAAUAUUUUAUUUGUAUGGGACCAACAGGAAAAAAGUUUACUUCCAUCCCCAUAUCUUGUAGCACCUGAAGGCAAACGAAUUUAUUAUAGCAUAAGCUUUUGUAGAAUACUAAGGUAGAUUUCCCUGGAUGCACAUAGCGAGUGGACAUGCUUUAAAAUGUGCUGUAAGAUACAGCGUUGUGGCCAUAUGAGUAACCUACAUAUGAAUUUUAGGAUCCUGUUGCUUCAGUACAAAUAGGGAGAAAUUGGUUCUUGUGACAGCUUGAACAGAAAUAGAUGAACUCAUGGCAGUUACAUCCUAUGGUUAAGCAUUUGAGUUAACAGGAGUAAAACUCAUUCCUGACCCAGCCUUUGUGAUCAACAACUUCUCUCUGUUUGCAUUAAAUCAAAAGGAUUCUAAAAUUCAGAUAUUAUCUGUUAGCAACGUCUCCACAGUAAGUAUGGGAAGCUGGUGAGUUUAUUUAUUCUCAACAAAAAUUUGAGAUAUAAGCAAAUAUUAUUCCUGUUUUUAACACAGAUCAUAGGUUUGAGAGACUGCUUCUAUUUUAGAAUAAAUGUUCCUGUGAUAAUUCUACCCCUGCUAAUAGUCUUCCUUUUUAGUUGCAACACCAGACAUUAGAGCAAAUGUAAUAUCAGCUAGGGGACACUAAGACUGAUAUGUAAAACUCAAAUUAAAAUUUUGAUUAUUUUAUCCAGAAAAGCCAACACUGAUA
Molecule: long non-coding RNA, 2001 nt
Organism: Podarcis muralis (Common wall lizard)
Lineage: Eukaryota; Metazoa; Chordata; Lepidosauria; Squamata; Lacertidae
Source: Ensembl